This 188-nucleotide ribosomal RNA is filed under the name uncultured bacterium. RNAcentral's name for it is "partial 16S ribosomal RNA". It matches the Rfam family "Bacterial small subunit ribosomal RNA", at positions 338 to 523 of the family's 1533-position model. The record is from RNAcentral.
CCUACGGGAGGCAGCAGUGAGGAAUAUUGGGCAAUGGGCGAGAGCCUGACCCAGCCAUGCCGCGUGCAGGAAGACGGUCCUAUGGAUUGUAAACUGCUUUUAUACGGGAAGAAACCCUGCUACGUGUAGCAGAUUGACGGUACCGUAGGAAUAAGGAUCGGCUAACUCCGUGCCAGCAGCCGCGGUAA